GAUGAACGCUGGCGGCGUGCCUAAUACAUGCAAGUCGAGCGAACAGAUAAGGAGCUUGCUCCUUUGACGUUAGCGGCGGACGGGUGAGUAACACGUGGGUAACCUACCUAUAAGACUGGAAUAACUCCGGGAAACCGGGGCUAAUGCCGGAUAACAUUUAGAACCGCAUGGUUCUAAAGUGAAAGAUGGUUUUGCUAUCACUUAUAGAUGGACCCGCGCCGUAUUAGCUGGUUGGUAAGGUAACGGCUUACCAAGGCAACGAUACGUAGCCGACCUGAGAGGGUGAUCGGCCACACUGGAACUGAGACACGGUCCAGACUCCUACGGGAGGCAGCAGUAGGGAAUCUUCCGCAAUGGGCGAAAGCCUGACGGAGCAACGCCGCGUGAGUGAUGAAGGUCUUCGGAUCGUAAAACUCUGUUAUUAGGGAAGAACAAAUGUGUAAGUAACUGUGCACGUCUUGACGGUACCUAAUCAGAAAGCCACGGCUAACUACGUG
This 497-nucleotide ribosomal RNA is filed under the name uncultured bacterium. Its description in RNAcentral is "partial 16S ribosomal RNA". It matches the Rfam family "Bacterial small subunit ribosomal RNA", at positions 28 to 507 of the family's 1533-position model. The record is from RNAcentral.